This 574-nucleotide long non-coding RNA is filed under the name Prunus dulcis (almond). Its description in RNAcentral is "sRNA ncRNA". Lineage: Eukaryota; Viridiplantae; Streptophyta; Magnoliopsida; Rosales; Rosaceae. The record is from RNAcentral.
AUACUAACCAAUAUUAUUCACUUUCCGCACCAAAUCUUUAUACAAAUUCUUCUCCUUCCAAUAUUAUUCACUUUACACACCAAAUUUUAUACUACUCAAUUUCAUUUGUGUAAAAAUACAAAUUGUCUUUUCCAUUAAAACCGGAGGGUUGUGGACAAACAUUCAAAGCGGUCAAAAUCUUCGCGAUGAGGUAUAAAAUUUCUAAUUGCCGUUUUAUUAAAUUUAAUGUCAUUUUUUAAAUUAUUUUCUUGCAUUUCCAAUUUAAUUUUUUAAUAGAUUAUUCAAGACAAAACAGAAAAGAGGAAAACCCAUUACACAUGGCUUCUCAAGUGAACAAUGCCCGCAGUCAGUUCUCAUGGUGCGUUCCUUGUCGGAAAUAAUGGUACUAUUACAUUAUCCGAAAGAAAAUACUCCCUCAUGUCUUGAUCUGGUAAACCCGCUUCCGCUAAUAAUUGAGCCGUCCAUAUACUCGAUUGUGUCAGACUAUUCCCCAUGCUUGAUCCUUUUUUGUUUUUCUCAACAAGGGGAAAUAGAAGUUUUUUUAACAGCACCAGGAAAAAAAAAAAAAAAAAAA